GACGAACGCUGGCGGCGUGCCUAAUACAUGCAAGUCGAACGAGAGCGACCGGUGCUUGCACUGGUCAAUCUAGUGGCGAACGGGUGAGUAACACGUGGGUAACCUGCCCAUCAGAGGGGGAUAACAUUCGGAAACGGAUGCUAAAACCGCAUAGGUCUUCGAGCCGCAUGGUUUGAAGAGGAAAAGAGGCGCAAGCUUCUGCUGAUGGAUGGACCCGCGGUGCAUUAGCUAGUUGGUGAGGUAACGGCUCACCAAGGCCGUGAUGCAUAGCCGACCUGAGAGGGUGAUCGGCCACAUUGGGACUGAGACACGGCCCAAACUCCUACGGGAGGCAGCAGUAGGGAAUCUUCCGCAAUGGACGCAAGUCUGACGGAGCAACGCCUCGUGAGUGAAGAAGGUUUUCGGAUCGUAAAACUCUGUUGUUAGAGAAGAACAAGUGCUAGAGUAACUGUUAGCGCCUUGACGGUAUCUAACCAGAAAGCCACGGCUAACUACGUGCCAGCAGCCGCGGUAAUACGUAGGUGGCAAGCGUUGUCCGGAUUUAUUGGGCGUAAAGCGAGCGCAGGCGGUUCCUUAAGUCUGAUGUGAAAGCCCCCGGCUCAACCGGGGAGGGUCAUUGGAAACUGGGGAACUUGAGUGCAGAAGAGGGAGAGUGGAAUUCCAUGUGUAGCGGUGAAAUGCGUAGAUAUAUGGAGGGACACCAGUGGCGAAGGCGACUCUCUGGUCUGUAACUGACGCUGAGGCUCGAAAGCGUGGGUAGCAAACAGG
This 768-nucleotide ribosomal RNA is filed under the name uncultured Granulicatella sp. Its description in RNAcentral is "bacterial SSU rRNA". It matches the Rfam family "Bacterial small subunit ribosomal RNA", at positions 28 to 776 of the family's 1533-position model. Lineage: Bacteria; Bacillati; Bacillota; Bacilli; Lactobacillales; Carnobacteriaceae. The record is from RNAcentral.